ACUCAAAUGAAUUGACGGGGACCCGCACAACCAGUGGAGCGUGUGGUUCAAUUUGAGACGAAGCAAAAAACCUCACCAAGGUUUGACAUAUUUAUGAAACUCUAGUGAAAGCUAGAGCCUCCCGCAAGGGACAUUUUUACAGGUGUUGCAUGGCUGUCGUCAGCUCGUGCCGUGAGGUGUUCCAUUAAGUUGGGAAACGAGUGCAACCCCUAUCUUGUGUUACAUAUUCACAAGAGACUGCCUCUGCAUUGCAGAGGAGGAAGGAGGGGCGGACGUCAAGUCCGCAUGACCCUUAUACCUUGGGCUACACACACCCUACAAUGGCGAAGAACAAUGAGUUGCAAGUCGGUAACGACAAGCUAAUCUCUGAAAUUUCGCCUCAGUUCAGAUUGGGGUCUGAAAUUCGACCCCAUGAAGUCGGAAUUGGUAGUAAUCGCAAAUCAGCAGGUUGCGGUGAAUACGUUCUCGGGUCUUGUACACACCGCCCGU
Molecule: ribosomal RNA, 489 nt
Filed under: uncultured bacterium
Lineage: Bacteria
Description: partial 16S ribosomal RNA
Rfam family: Bacterial small subunit ribosomal RNA
Source: RNAcentral